Molecule: ribosomal RNA, 412 nt
Filed under: uncultured bacterium
Lineage: Bacteria
Description: bacterial SSU rRNA
Rfam family: Bacterial small subunit ribosomal RNA
Source: RNAcentral
UGAGGAAUAUUGGGCAAUGCCCGCAAGGGUGACCCAGCAACGCCGCGUGGAGGAUGAAUGUCGUAAGAUUGUAAACUCCUGUUAGAGGGGAAGAAUAGUACCGGUUGGACCGGUAUAUGACUGUACCCUCAGAGAAAGCCCCGGCUAACUACGUGCCAGCAGCCGCGGUAAUACGUAGGGGGCAAGCGUUGUCCGGAUUUACUGGGUGUAAAGGGCGCGCAGGCGGGAUAAAAAGUCAGUGGUGAAAUCCUACAGCUUAACUGUAGAACUGCCUUCGAUACUUUUAUUCUUGAGUUCGGGAGAGAGAGACGGAAUUCCAGGUGUAGUGGUGAAAUACGUAGAUAUCUGGAAGAACACCAGUUGCGAAGGCGGUCUCUUGGUCCGACACUGACGCUGAGGCGCGAAAGCGUGG